UUGACAGAUUAUUGUAUUCGACUGUAUUCACGACGUGAAAUAGGGGAUUACACUGUUUUUAAAACGGAAAGUGAAUCAACUAACAUAAUAGACUCCU
RNAcentral lists this microRNA precursor (97 nucleotides) under Nicotiana sylvestris (wood tobacco). Its description in RNAcentral is "MIR6152 microRNA precursor family". It matches the Rfam family "MIR6152 microRNA precursor family". The record is from Rfam by way of RNAcentral. Lineage: Eukaryota; Viridiplantae; Streptophyta; Magnoliopsida; Solanales; Solanaceae.